This 467-nucleotide ribosomal RNA is filed under the name uncultured bacterium. RNAcentral's name for it is "partial 16S ribosomal RNA". It matches the Rfam family "Bacterial small subunit ribosomal RNA", at positions 28 to 507 of the family's 1533-position model. The record is from RNAcentral.
GAUGAACGCUGGCGGCGUGCUUAACACAUGCAAGUCGAACGGAAAGGCCCAAGCUUGCUUGGGUACUCGAGUGGCGAACGGGUGAGUAACACGUGGGUGAUCUGCCCCGCACUUCGGGAUAAGCCUGGGAAACUGGGUCUAAUACCGGAUAGGACAGUGGCUUGGAUGCCAUUGUGGAAAGUUUUUUCGGUGUGGGAUGAGCUCGCGGCCUAUCAGCUUGUUGGUGGGGUAAUGGCCUACCAAGGCGUCGACGGGUAGCCGGCCUGAGAGGGUGUACGGCCACAUUGGGACUGAGAUACGGCCCAGACUCCUACGGGAGGCAGCAGUGGGGAAUAUUGCACAAUGGGCGCAAGCCUGAUGCAGCGACGCCGCGUGGGGGAUGACGGCCUUCGGGUUGUAAACUCCUUUCGCUAGGGACGAAGCGUUAUGUGACGGUACCCAGAGAAGAAGCACCGGCUAACUACGUG